RNAcentral lists this non-coding RNA (973 nucleotides) under Piprites chloris (white-winged piprites). RNAcentral describes it as "12S ribosomal RNA". It matches the Rfam family "Bacterial small subunit ribosomal RNA". The record is from RNAcentral. Lineage: Eukaryota; Metazoa; Chordata; Aves; Passeriformes; Pipridae.
AAAAGACUUAGUCCUAACCUUACUGUUAGUUCUUGCCAAACAUAUACAUGCAAGUAUCCGCACCCCAGUGAAAAUGCCCUCAACCCCUUAAAAAGAAAGCAGGAGCAGGUAUCAGGCUCACAUCUAAACCGUAGCCCAAAACACCUUGCCUAGCCACACCCCCACGGGUAUACAGCAGUAAUUAACAUUAAGCAAUAAGUGAAAACUUGACUUAGUUAAAGCAAUACUCAGGGUUGGUCAAUCUUGUGCCAGCCACCGCGGUCAUACAAGAAACCCAAAUUAACUUCAACCGGCGUAAAGAGUGGUCUCUUACUAUCGCACACACUAAGACUGAGGUACAACCAAGCUGUUAUAAGCAUAAGAUGUAUGCAAUCCCUACAAUUAAAAUGGUCUUAGCCCCAGUCGACUGACUAAACACCACGAAAGCAAGGACACAAACUGGGAUUAGAUACCCCACUAUGCCUUGCCCUAAAUCCUGAUGCUUCCCCUACCUAAGCAUCCGCCUGAGAACUACGAGCACAAACGCUUAAAACUCUAAGGACUUGGCGGUGCCCCAAACCCACCUAGAGGAGCCUGUUCUAUAAUCGAUAACCCACGAUAUACCCAACCAUCCCUUGCCAAAUCAGCCUAUAUACCGCCGUCGCCAGCCCACCCCAAACUGAGGGACAAGAAGUGGGCUCAAUAGCCCCCCCGCUAAAAAGACAGGUCAAGGUAUAGCCCAUGGGAUGGAAGAAAUGGGCUACAUUUUCUACCAUAGAAAACUACGACAAGAAGUGUGAAACUCCCUCCUAAAAGGCGGAUUUAGCAGUAAAGUAGCACAAUCAUGCCUCCUUUAAGUCGGCCCUGGAGCACGUACAUACCGCCCGUCACCCUCCUCACAGCUACACAUAUAACUCUACAUAAACCACAACCUAGCCAAAGACGAGGCAAGUCGUAACAAGGUAAGUGUACCGGAAGGUGCACUUAGUCUACC